AACGUAGGAGACAAACGUUGUCCGGAUUUAUUGGGCGUAAAGAGCGUGUAGGCGGCCAUACAGGUCCGUUGUGAAAACUGGAGGCUUAACCUCCAGACGUCGAUGGAAACCGUAUGGCUAGAGUCCGGAAGAGGAGAGUGGAAUUCCUGGUGUAGCGGUGAAAUGCGCAGAUAUCAGGAAGAACACCCGUGGCGAAGGCGGCUCUCUGGGACGGUACUGACGCUGAGACGCGAAAGCGUGGGGAGCGAACAGG
Molecule: ribosomal RNA, 253 nt
Filed under: uncultured bacterium
Lineage: Bacteria
Description: partial 16S ribosomal RNA
Rfam family: Bacterial small subunit ribosomal RNA
Source: RNAcentral